GAUGAACGCUGGCGGCGUGCUUAACACAUGCAAGUCGAACGGAAAGGCCCUGCUUUUGUGGGGUGCUCGAGUGGCGAACGGGUGAGUAACACGUGAGUAACCUGCCCUUGACUUUGGGAUAACUUCAGGAAACUGGGGCUAAUACCGGAUAGGAGCUCCUGCUGCAUGGUGGGGGUUGGAAAGUUUCGGCGGUUGGGGAUGGACUCGCGGCUUAUCAGCUUGUUGGUGGGGUAGUGGCUUACCAAGGCUUUGACGGGUAGCCGGCCUGAGAGGGUGACCGGCCACAUUGGGACUGAGAUACGGCCCAGACUCCUACGGGAGGCAGCAGUGGGGAAUAUUGCACAAUGGGCGGAAGCCUGAUGCAGCAACGCCGCGUGCGGGAUGACGGCCUUCGGGUUGUAAACCGCUUUCGCCUGUGACGAAGCGUGAGUGACGGUAAUGGGCAAAGAAGCACCGGCUAACUACGUG
This 468-nucleotide ribosomal RNA is filed under the name uncultured bacterium. RNAcentral's name for it is "partial 16S ribosomal RNA". It matches the Rfam family "Bacterial small subunit ribosomal RNA", at positions 28 to 507 of the family's 1533-position model. The record is from RNAcentral.